UUCGGAGGGUUCGACUCCUCUGCAAUUUCGCUACUGCUGAAUUUAUCAAAAUUGAUGGUACCUGUUUGAAUCUUCAUUGGAGUUGGUCAUAUGCUCCACUAGACCUUGCACAAAUUCAGUAUAGGAGUUGUCUUGUUGCCUUCAGAACAUGAACAGAAUCAGACCACAUGUUAGAUCCCUAGAGAUUGAUCCGCUUCUUUUUUGUUGCUAGGAGAAUGGCAAAGGGGAGAUCAACAACACCACUUACAAAUCAGCGACAGGAGGACGAUCAGAGAUAGACAAAAGGGAGAUCUCUAUGCCAACGUGUGUUCUGGUUACAAGGAGGACGAAGACGGGCGGCGCGAAGGCAUGGAGAUAUUUGGCGCCAACCUGCGUUCUGUUUAGCGCCAACUUGCCGUACGAGUUUUUUUAGGGGAUCUGCCGUAGGAGAUUUUGCAGCCAACAGUUCAGGUGUUUGUUGUCAUUUAUUAUAAAAGAAUUAAAGGAGGAAAUAAGAGCGGUCAGAUUGAAAUUAACGGUUGAUGUACACCGGUGCUGUAAUAGCUGCACUGCAGAGGAGCCGGACCCGCGACCGGCGCGUCGGUUCGGCCGGCGCGCUGGUUGGAAACGAUUCCCUUCGGUUAUGCAAUGGAAUAAAAGGAAAGAAAGAAAAGAUGCACGAUUUAAGGGUCGCAAAAGAUCCUUCUCUCCUGACGGCGUCUCUCUUCUCUUCUCUGUUUUCCUUUAGCCUGUUUUCCUUUAGCCUCGUGCGUGCGUUGUGUUUUUCAGAGAAAAGUUCAGGGGAGAAAGGGUAG
Molecule: long non-coding RNA, 794 nt
Filed under: Hordeum vulgare
Lineage: Eukaryota; Viridiplantae; Streptophyta; Magnoliopsida; Poales; Poaceae
Description: long non-coding RNA (HVUL_LNC003407)
Source: RNAcentral